UACAGAGGGGGCAAGCGUUGUUCGGAAUUACUGGGCGUAAAGGGCGCGUAGGCGGCCUGUUAAGUCGAACGUGAAAUCCCCGGGCUCAACCCGGGAACUGCGUCCGAUACUGGCAGGCUUGAAUUCGGGAGAGGGAUGUGGAAUUCCAGGUGUAGCGGUGAAAUGCGUAGAUAUCUGGAGGAACACCGGUGGCGAAGGCGGCAUCCUGGACCGAUAUUGACGCUGAGGAGCGAAAGCCAGGGGAGCAAACGGG
RNAcentral lists this ribosomal RNA (253 nucleotides) under uncultured bacterium. RNAcentral describes it as "partial 16S ribosomal RNA". It matches the Rfam family "Bacterial small subunit ribosomal RNA", at positions 524 to 776 of the family's 1533-position model. The record is from RNAcentral.